CCUGAACGCUGGCGGCGUGGCUAAGACAUGCAAGUCGCACGGACGUAGCAAUACGUCAGUGGCGAACGGGUGAGUAAUGAAUCGCUAACGUACCCCGGACUCUGGGAGUAGCUGCCCGAAACGGGACAGGUAAUACCAGAUGACAUAACUCUGUCGCAUGACAGGGUUCUCAAAGGUCCGCCGGUCUGGGAGCGGGCGAUUUCGUAUCAGCUAGUUGGUGAGGUAACGGCNCACCAAGGCGACGACGCGUAGCCGGACUGAGAGGUUGGCCGGCCACAUUGGGACUGAGACACUG
RNAcentral lists this ribosomal RNA (295 nucleotides) under uncultured bacterium. RNAcentral's name for it is "partial 16S ribosomal RNA". It matches the Rfam family "Bacterial small subunit ribosomal RNA", at positions 30 to 329 of the family's 1533-position model. The record is from RNAcentral.